This 284-nucleotide ribosomal RNA is filed under the name uncultured prokaryote. Its description in RNAcentral is "partial 16S ribosomal RNA". It matches the Rfam family "Bacterial small subunit ribosomal RNA", at positions 524 to 805 of the family's 1533-position model. The record is from RNAcentral.
UACGUAGGGGGCGAGCGUUACCCGGAAUCACUGGGCGUAAAGGGAGCGUAGGUGGCCUGACAUGUCGACUGUGAAAACCCGGAGCUCAACUCCGGACUUGCAGUUGAAACUGCCAGGCUUGAGGACGGUAGAGGAAGACGGAACUGCCAGUGUAGGGGUAAAAUCCUUAGAUAUUGGCAGGAACGCCGGUGACGAAGGUGGUUUUCUGGGCUGGUUCUGACACUGAUGCUCGAAAGCCAGGGGAGCGAACGGGAUUAGAUACCCGGGUAGUCCCUGAGCGGGCU